AACGAACGCUGGCGGCAGGCUUAACACAUGCAAGUCGAACGGGUGUAGCAAUACACCAGUGGCAGACGGGUGAGUAACACGUGGGAACCUUCCUAGGGGUACGGAACAACUCAGGGAAACUUGAGCUAAUACCGUAUACGUCCGUAAGGAGAAAGAUUCAUCGCCCCUAGACGGGCCCGCGUCGGAUUAGGUAGUUGGUGGGGUAACGGCCUACCAAGCCUACGAUCCGUAGCUGAUCUGAGAGGAUGANCAGCCACACUGGGACUGAGACACGGCCCAGACUCCUACGGGAGGCAGCAGUGGGGAAUCUUGGACAAUGGGCGCAAGCCUGAUCCAGCCAUGCCGCGUGAGUGAAGAAGGCCUUAGGGUUGUAAAGCUCUUUUACCAGGGACGAUAAUGACGGUACCUGGAGAAUAAG
This 418-nucleotide ribosomal RNA is filed under the name uncultured bacterium. Its description in RNAcentral is "bacterial SSU rRNA". It matches the Rfam family "Bacterial small subunit ribosomal RNA", at positions 29 to 490 of the family's 1533-position model. The record is from RNAcentral.